GACGGAAGGUGCAAGCGUUGCUCGGAAUCACUGGGCGUAAAGGGUGCGUAGGCGGCCGUGCAAGUCUGGCGUGAAAGCCCCGGGCUCAGCCCGGGAAGUGCGCUCGAAACUGCGCGGCUCGAGUACUGGAGAGGAGAUUGGAAUUUACGGUGUAGCAGUGAAAUGCGUAGAUAUCGUAAGGAAGACCAGUGGCGAAGGCGAAUCUCUGGACAGUUACUGACACUGAGGCACGAAGGCCAGGGGAGCAAACGGG
Molecule: ribosomal RNA, 253 nt
Filed under: uncultured bacterium
Lineage: Bacteria
Description: partial 16S ribosomal RNA
Rfam family: Bacterial small subunit ribosomal RNA
Source: RNAcentral